GUGCUCACUACUUGUGCAUUUUAGCUCAUCAAUUUGUUCUGAUUCCAGCUGUACCAACUGUCCUUUGAGUGAUGAUGAAAGUACUUCUGCCUUUUUCUGCCCACGUCUGAUGCAAUGGAGCCUUUUACAUAACACCAACUCCUGUAACAAUCUGUCUCCUCUAUACACAGCAUUUUCAGAGGCUUGUAACAUUUUCACAGGACAUCUGUGUGUGCCACCUGCAAGUGGGGAGGAUGCUGCAGGAGACAGGGGGAUCUUCUGUGCAUCCACCCCAUCUCUGUUGUUUUUGUGCCUCAUAAUGAGCACAUCUGACACCAGACAAGUCUCAGCUUUUCCCUUUGUGGAUGCCCAGGGAAUGCCAAGGUCACAGAAUAGAUCUGUUUUCAUGGCUUCUUGUCUGCUUUUUGCACAUACAAAUGAGAUUGCUGAGUAAGAAGAGAGGGGAAAUAUGAACUAACACAACAGAGUAUCCUACAGGUGGAAAACACCUGGGAGAUAAGGCAAAUAAACUUGUUCUUUACUCCUAGCUGCA
This 532-nucleotide long non-coding RNA is filed under the name Chloebia gouldiae (Gouldian finch). Its description in RNAcentral is "Erythrura gouldiae (Gouldian finch) lncRNA (ENSEGOG00005016131.1)". Lineage: Eukaryota; Metazoa; Chordata; Aves; Passeriformes; Passeridae. The record is from RNAcentral.